CAGGCGAGGCGCGCACAGUGUGUGAUGAGUGAACUGUGAAUGAAAUUUGCAUAUAAAUAGAAGCGAUCAAGCUAAUCUGGGCAGUGGAUUAGAGGUGGAUAAUUUGCAUAAGAAUAGUCUAGACCGAGACAGGCGCAGGCACGAGUUAAGUAUAGUAUAAAUAAAUUAGAAAUGUUUUCGGUCAUUCGUUCUAAUUCGUUUGCUUAUACUACUACACUCGUGAAAAUACAUCGUUUGUUUGGUUUAGUUCACAGUUCCAUUAUUAAGUUUCAAUAUAAUAGUGGAAAUAUCUACCUCAUUAGUCUUAUUUACUAGACUAAGCCAAAUGUGUACGGCACGCGCUUUAUCAGUCGAUCUAUCUUCAGUCAACAUGCAUGACGUAUAGACGAUCAGCUGUUUCUCGUUGUGAAUGGGAUGGAUGGGAGGAGGGUUUUCAGCCGGCCGCGCCGGAAACCGGAGCUUCGAAUUCUCUACAGUCAAGGCACAAACGGUCCACGCCAGUGGUAGCAGCAGUGACUGGGCAGCAACCAGUCAGAUGAAAAAGACAGUUUUGAAAACAUUUAGUGAUGGCAAUCAAACAACUGGCAAGUUCCGUCAAAUAGAUUUGGAGAAAGUCGCAGAUACUUUGGGGAAACCUGAAGAGGGGCUCCAGGACAUUUUGUCCACUGUGAAGGCCGUCACAGAGGACCUCGUUUAUAAUUGUGAGGACAGUGAGGACUCUGAAACUUCUUCGGGUGCCGAUAGUUCAACCAGUCUUGAGAGUGAAGCAAGGGAGCCGCGAAAAAAGAAGAGGAAGCUAUUAGGGGUAAUUGGCCGAAUGGGGGAAUAAACUAUCAUAACCUACUUGCUAAUUGGGAUAAACUUAUACUUCAAACUUUGAUUUUAAUAGGCAUUAUAUGUCAUAAUGGAUACCUAAUGAUGUAUAAAAUAACUGGUUUCAAUGUCCAGGUAUAAUGUUAUACCACAAACUAUCUAAGUUUAUAUUUCAUACUUACAACCGUAAGAAGUACAUUACAGAGUAUCAUACAGCCGUACUUUGGCAAAGGAAACAAGUUACAAAACAUUAAUUUGUUGAAAAUGAGUAAUGUGUGUUCAUCAUAUAAAUAGGUGUAAUUGCAAUUUUACAGCAGUUUUUCUUCAGUAUCUUUCAUUGAACAAUCACUUCUUCACCAAAUUCAGCCUGAAUGUGCCACAUACAAAGGGUGUUUCAGAAACAGCAAUAACUCAAAUUUAAGUGAUGUGUCACUUGCUUCCUUUUGCCAAAGUUGGGCAGGUAUAAGCUUAUCACUUUUGAUUUGUAUUGCCUCAUACAUUGCAGAGUAUCAUACAGGUAUAAGCUUAUCCCGUUUGAUUUGUAUUGCCUCAUACAUUGCAGAGUAUCCUACAGGUAUAAGCUUAUCCCAUUUGACUUGUAUUACCUCAUACAUUGCAGAUAAUCAUACAGGGAUAAGCUUAUCCCAUUUGAUUUGUAUAACCACAUACAUCGCAGAGGAUCAUAAAGGUAUAAGCUUAUCCCAUUUGAUUUAUAUUGCCUCGUACAUUGUAGAGUGUCAUACAGGUAUAAGCUUAUCCUAUUUGAUUUGUAUAACUUGUACAUUGCAGAGUAUCGUAGUGGUAUAAGCUUAUCCCUUUUGAUUUGUACUACCUCAUACAUUGCAGAGUAUCGUACUGGUAUAAGCUUAUCCCAUUUGAUUUGUAUUACUCGUACAUUGCAGAGUAUCAUACAGGUAUAAGCUUAUCCCAUUUGAUUUCCAUAACCUCAUACAUUACAGAGUAUCCUACAGGUAUAAGCUUAUCCCAUUUGAUUUGUAUUACCUCAUACAUUGCAGAGAAUCAUUCAGGUAUAAGCUUAUCCCAUUUGAUUUGAAUUACCUCAUACAUUGCAGAGUAUCGUACAGGGAUAAGCUUAUCCCUUUUGAUAUGUAUUGCCUCAUACAUUGUAGAGUAUCCGACAGGUAUAAGCUUAUCCCAUUUGAUUUGUAAAACUCGUACAUUGCAGAGUAUAGUACUGGUAUAAGCUUAUCCCUUUUGAUUUGUAUUGCCUUGUCCACUACAGAGUAUCAUGCAGGUAUAAGCUUAUCCCUUUUGAUUUGUAUUGCCUCAUACAUUGCAGAGUAUCCUGCAGGGAUAAGCUUAUCCCAUUUGAUAUGUAUAACUUGUACAUUGCAGAGUAUCGUAGUGGUAUAAGCUUAUCCCUUUUGAUUUGUACUACCUCAUACAUUGCAGAGUAUCGUACUGGUACAAGCUUAUCCCAUUUGAUUUGUAUUACUCGUACAUUGCAGAGUAUCAUACAGGUAUAAGCUUAUCCCAUUUGAUUUCCAUAACCUCAUACAUUACAGAGUAUCCUACAGGUAUAAGCUUAUCCCAUUUGAUUUGUAUUACCUCAUACAUUGCAGAGAAUCAUUCAGGUAUAAGCUUAUCCCAUUUGAUUUGAAUUACCUCAUACAUUGCAGAGUAUCGUACAGGGAUAAGCUUAUCCCUUUUGAUAUGUAUUGCCUCAUACAUUGUAGAGUAUCCGACAGGUAUAAGCUUAUCCCAUUUGAUUUGUAAAACUCGUACAUUGCAGAGUAUAGUACUGGUAUAAGCUUAUCCCUUUUGAUUUGUAUUGCCUUGUCCACUACAGAGUAUCAUGCAGGUAUAAGCUUAUCCCUUUUGAUUUGUAUUGCCUCAUACAUUGCAGAGUAUCCUGCAGGGAUAAGCCUAUCCCAUUUGAUAUGUAUAACUUGUACAUUGCAGAGUAUCGUACUGGUAUAAGCUUAUCCCAUUUGAUUUGUAUUACUCGUACAUUGCAGAGUAUCCUACAGGUAUAAGCUUAUCCCUUUUGAUAUGAAUUACCUCAUACAUCGCAAAGUAUCUUACAGGUAUAAGCUUAUCCCAUUUGAUAUGUAUUGCCUCAUACAUUGUAGAGUAUCGUACAGGUAUAAGCUUAUCCCAUUUGAUUUGAAUUACCUCAUACACUGCAGAGUAUCGUACGGGGAUAAGCUUAUCCCAUUUGAUAUGUAUUGCCUCAUACAUUGUAGAGUAUCGUACAGGUAUAAGCUUAUCCCAUUUGAUUUGAAUUACCUCAUACACUGCAGAGUAUCGUACGGGGAUAAGCUUAUCCCUUUUGAUAUGUAUUGCCUCAUACAUUGUAGAGUAUCGUACAGGUAUAAGCUUAUCCCAUUUGACUUGUAUUCCUCAUACACUGCAGAGUAUCGUACGGGGAUAAGCUUAUCCCUUUUGAUAUGUAUUGCCUCAUACAUUGUAGAGUAUCCUACAGGUACCGGGUAUAAGCUUAUCCUUUGGAUUUGUAUUACCUCAUACACUGCAGAGUAUCGUACAGGGAUAAGCUUAUCCCUUUUGAUAUGUAUUGCCUCAUCCAUUGUAGAGUAUCGUACAGGUAUAAGCUUAUCCCAUUUGAUUUGAAUUACCUCAUACACUGCAGAGUAUCGUACGGGGAUAAGCUUAUCCCUUUUGAUAUGUAUUGCCUCAUACAUUGUAGAGUAUCAUACAGGUAUAAGCUUAUCCCAUUUGAUUUCCAUAACCUCAUACAUUACAGAGUAUCCUACAGGUAUAAGCUUAUCCCAUUUGAUUUGUAUUACCUCAUACAUUGCAGAGAAUCAUUCAGGUAUAAGCUUAUCCCAUUUGAUUUGAAUUACCUCAUACAUUGCAGAGUAUCGUACAGGGAUAAGCUUAUCCCUUUUGAUAUGUAUUGCCUCAUACAUUGUAGAGUAUCCUACAGGUAUAAGCUUAUCCCAUUUGAUUUGUAAAACUCGUACAUUGCAGAGUAUAGUACUGGUAUAAGCUUAUCCCUUUUGAUUUGUAUUGCCUUGUCCACUACAGAGUAUCAUGCAGGUAUAAGCUUAUCCCUUUUGAUUUGUAUUGCCUCAUACAUUGCAGAGUAUCCUGCAGGGAUAAGCUUAUCCCAUUUGAUAUGUAUAACUUGUACAUUGUAGAGUAUAGUAGUGGUAUAAGCUUAUCCCUUUUGAUAUGAAUUACCUCAUACAUCGCAGAGUAUCUUACAGGUAUAAGCUUAUCCCAUUUGAUAUGUAUUGCCUCAUACAUUGUAGAGUAUCGUACAGGUAUAAGCUUAUCCCAUUUGAUUUGAAUUACCUCUUACACUGCAGAGUAUCGUACGGGGAUAAGCUUAUCCCUUUUGAUAUGUAUUGCCUCAUACAUUGUAGAGUAUCGUACAGGUAUAAGCUUAUCCCAUUUGACUUGUAUUCCUCAUACAUUGUAGAGUUUCCUACAGGUACCGGGUAUAAGCUUAUCCUUUGGAUUUGUAUUACCUCAUACACUGCAGAGUAUCGUACUGGUAUAAGCUUAUCCCAUUUGAUUUGUAUUACUCGUACAUUGCAGAGUAUCAUACAGGUAUAAGCUUAUCCCAUUUGAUUUCCAUAACCUCAUACAUUACAGAGUAUCCUACAGGUAUAAGCUUAUCCCAUUUGAUUUUUAUUAUCUCAUACAUUGCAGAGAAUCAUUCAGGUAAAAGCUUAUCCCAUUUGAUUUGAAUUACCUCAUACAUUGCAGAGUAUCGUACAGGUAUAAGCUUAUCCCAUUUGAUUUGUAAAACUCGUACAUUGCAGAGUAUAGUACUGGUAUAAGCUUAUCCCUUUUGAUUUGUAUUGCCUUGUCCACUACAGAGUAUCAUGCAGGUAUAAGCUUAUCCCUUUUGAUUUGUAUUGCCUCAUACAUUGCAGAGUAUCCUGCAGGGAUAAGCUUAUCCCAUUUGAUAUGUAUAACCUGUACAUUGCAGAGUAUCGUAGUGGUAUAAGCUUAUCCCUUUUGAUUUGUACUACCUCAUACAUUGCAGAGUAUCGUACUGGUAUAAGCUUAUCCCAUUUGAUUUGUUUUACUCGUACAUUGCAGAGUAUCCUACAGGUAUAAGCUUAUCCCUUUUGAUAUGAAUUACCUCAUACAUCGCAGAGUAUCUUACAUGUAUAAGCUUAUCCCAUUUGAUUUGUAUUGCCUCAUACAUUACAGAGUAUCCUACUGGUAUAAGCUUAUCCCAUUUGAUUUGUAUUACUCGUACAUUGCAGAGAAUCAUUCAGGUAUUAGCUUAUCCCAUUUGAUUUGAAUUACCGGUACGUCAUACAUCGCAGAGUUUCAUACAGAGAUAAGCUUAUCCCAUUUGAUUUGAAUUACCUCAUACAUUGCAGAGUAUCGUAAAGGGAUAAGCUUAUCCCUUUUGGUAUGUAUUGCCUCGUACAUUGUAGAGUAUCCUACAGGUAUAAGCUUAUCCCAUUUGAUUUGUAAAACUCGUACAUUGCAGAGUAUAGUACUGGUAUAAACUUAUCCCUUUUGAUUUGUAUUGCCUUGUCCACUACAGAGUAUCAUGCAGGUAUAAGCUUAUCCCUUUUGGUUUGUACUACCUCAUACAUUGCAGAGUAUCCUGCAGGGAUAAGCUUAUCCCAUAUAAUUUGAAUUUCUGGUACCUCAUACAUUGCAAAGUUUCCUACAGGGAUAAGCUUAUCCCAUUUGAUUUGAAUUACCUCAUACAUUGCAGAGUUUCGUACAGGGAUAAGCUUAUCCCUUUUGAUUUGUAUUGCCUCAUACAUUGUAGAGUAUCGUACAGGGAUAAGUUCAUCCCGUUUGAUUUGUAUUACCUCAUACAUUGCGAAGUAUCAUACAGGUAUAAGCUUAUCCCAUUUGAUUUGAAUUUCUUGUACCUCAUACAUUGCAAAGUAUCCUACAGGGAUAAGCUUAUCCCUUUUGAUUUGUACUAUCUCAUACAUUGCAGAGUAUCCUACAGUUACUUGUACAAUGGGGAAUGUCAUAUAGGUAUAAGCUUAUCCCAUUUGAUUUGAAUUACCGGUACCUCAUACAUCGCAGAGUGUCAUACAGGGAAUCUGGAUAAGCUUAUCCCAUUUGAUUUGUAUUGCCUCGUAAAUUGUAGAGUGUCAUACAGGUAUAAGCUUAUCCCUUUUGAUUUGUAUUGCCUCAUACAUUGUAGAGUAUCAUACAGGUAUAAGCUUAUCCCUUUUGAUUUGAAUUACCUCAUACAUUGCAGAGUAUCCUACAGGUAUAAGCUUAUCCCUUUUGAUUUGUAUAACUUGCACAUUGCAGAGUAUCGUAGUGGUAUAAGCUUAUCCCUUUUGAUUUGUACUACCUCAUACAUUGCAGAGUAUCGUACUGGUAUAAGCUUAUCCCAUUUGAUUUGUAUUACUCGUACAUUGCAGAGUAUCGCACAGGGAUAAGCUUAUCCCUUUUGAUAUGUAUUGCCUCAUACAUUGCAGAGUAUCAGACAGGGAUAAGCUUAUCCCUUUUGAUUUGUAUUGCCUCAUACAUUGCAGAGUAUCCUACUGGUAUAAGCUUAUCCCAUUUGAUUUGUAUUACCUCAUACAUUGCAGAGUAUCGUACAGGUAUAAGCUUAUCCCGUUUGAUUUGUAUUACCUCAUACAUUGCAGAGUAUCAGACAGGGAUAAGCUUAUCCCUUUUGAUUUGUAUUGCCUCAUACAUUGCAGAGUAUCCUACUGGUAUAAGCUUAUCCCUUUUUGGUGAUUCGUACUACCUCAUGCAGUGCAGAGUAUGAUACAGAUAUAAGCUAAUCCCUCAAACUGUCUGGCUUUCGUGUCGAGGUAUAAGCUUAUACCCUAAUUAUCCAGUUUCAAUUAUAUGAGUUUAUAUGAUAUACUGGCUACAUGACGAGGUAUAAGCUUAUCCCUAAAACUAUUCUGGUUUUAAAGUCCAUGUUUAUAACUUAUACAAAUCCGACCACCUUCAAGAUACAAGCUUAUACAUUUUUUCAAACAAUUUUGUUUGCUCAAUGAUAUUCAAUCGUAUUUAUUGUUGAAUAAUUGUAAAGUUCUCUUUUGGAUUUGUUUUGUGAAAUAAAUUGUAUAUCUUUAACCGA
Long non-coding RNA from Lytechinus pictus (painted urchin), 6832 nucleotides. RefSeq lists it as uncharacterized. The transcript is spliced from 2 exons. Lineage: Eukaryota; Metazoa; Echinodermata; Echinoidea; Temnopleuroida; Toxopneustidae. The record is from RefSeq and is a predicted model, not a curated record.